GCGUCUGUAGCUCAGCUGGAUAGAGCAUCGGAUUUCGAUUCCGAGGGCCGCAGGUUCGACUCCUGCCAGACGCA
RNAcentral lists this transfer RNA (74 nucleotides) under Deltaproteobacteria bacterium. RNAcentral describes it as "tRNA-Arg". It matches the Rfam family "tRNA". Rfam says of the family: Transfer RNA (tRNA) molecules are approximately 80 nucleotides in length. Their secondary structure includes four short double-helical elements and three loops (D, anti-codon, and T loops). Lineage: Bacteria; Pseudomonadati; Myxococcota; Myxococcia. The record is from RNAcentral.